GUGAAACAUAGAGUGCUCUUUGUUGAGGCUCGUUUUAACUAUCCAAUACACUUUGUGCAUUUGAAAACAUUUAACCCUCUGGGCUUCGGUCCUUGGGUUUUAUUACAACCCCUUUGCUUUAAUUGAGAUGAUGAUGUUAUAAAAUUGAAAUUGAAAGU
This 158-nucleotide unclassified non-coding RNA is filed under the name Kondoa miscanthi. RNAcentral's name for it is "ITS 1". Lineage: Eukaryota; Fungi; Basidiomycota; Agaricostilbomycetes; Agaricostilbales; Kondoaceae. The record is from RNAcentral.